This 1410-nucleotide ribosomal RNA is filed under the name Lactobacillus sp. Its description in RNAcentral is "bacterial SSU rRNA". It matches the Rfam family "Bacterial small subunit ribosomal RNA", at positions 57 to 1434 of the family's 1533-position model. The record is from RNAcentral. Lineage: Bacteria; Bacillati; Bacillota; Bacilli; Lactobacillales; Lactobacillaceae.
GCAGUCGAACGAACUCUGGUAUUGAUUGGUGCUUGCAUCAUGAUUUACAUUUGAGUGAGUGGCGAACUGGUGAGUAACACGUGGGAAACCUGCCCAGAAGCGGGGGAUAACACCUGGAAACAGAUGCUAAUACCGCAUAACAACUUGGACCGCAUGGUCCGAGCUUGAAAGAUGGCUUCGGCUAUCACUUUUGGAUGGUCCCGCGGCGUAUUAGCUAGAUGGUGGGGUAACGGCUCACCAUGGCAAUGAUACGUAGCCGACCUGAGAGGGUAAUCGGCCACAUUGGGACUGAGACACGGCCCAAACUCCUACGGGAGGCAGCAGUAGGGAAUCUUCCACAAUGGACGAAAGUCUGAUGGAGCAACGCCGCGUGAGUGAAGAAGGGUUUCGGCUCGUAAAACUCUGUUGUUAAAGAAGAACAUAUCUGAGAGUAACUGUUCAGGUAUUGACGGUAUUUAACCAGAAAGCCACGGCUAACUACGUGCCAGCAGCCGCGGUAAUACGUAGGUGGCAAGCGUUGUCCGGAUUUAUUGGGCGUAAAGCGAGCGCAGGCGGUUUUUUAAGUCUGAUGUGAAAGCCUUCGGCUCAACCGAAGAAGUGCAUCGGAAACUGGGAAACUUGAGUGCAGAAGAGGACAGUGGAACUCCAUGUGUAGCGGUGAAAUGCGUAGAUAUAUGGAAGAACACCAGUGGCGAAGGCGGCUGUCUGGUCUGUAACUGACGCUGAGGCUCGAAAGUAUGGGUAGCAAACAGGAUUAGAUACCCUGGUAGUCCAUACCGUAAACGAUGAAUGCUAAGUGUUGGAGGGUUUCCGCCCUUCAGUGCUGCAGCUAACGCAUUAAGCAUUCCGCCUGGGGAGUACGGCCGCAAGGCUGAAACUCAAAGGAAUUGACGGGGGCCCGCACAAGCGGUGGAGCAUGUGGUUUAAUUCGAAGCUACGCGAAGAACCUUACCAGGUCUUGACAUACUAUGCAAAUCUAAGAGAUUAGACGUUCCCUUCGGGGACAUGGAUACAGGUGGUGCAUGGUUGUCGUCAGCUCGUGUCGUGAGAUGUUGGGUUAAGUCCCGCAACGAGCGCAACCCUUAUUAUCAGUUGCCAGCAUUAAGUUGGGCACUCUGGUGAGACUGCCGGUGACAAACCGGAGGAAGGUGGGGAUGACGUCAAAUCAUCAUGCCCCUUAUGACCUGGGCUACACACGUGCUACAAUGGAUGGUACAACGAGUUGCGAACUCGCGAGAGUAAGCUAAUCUCUUAAAGCCAUUCUCAGUUCGGAUUGUAGGCUGCAACUCGCCUACAUGAAGUCGGAAUCGCUAGUAAUCGCGGAUCAGCAUGCCGCGGUGAAUACGUUCCCGGGCCUUGUACACACCGCCCGUCACACCAUGAGAGUUUGUAACACCCAAAGUCGGUGGG